Molecule: ribosomal RNA, 321 nt
Filed under: uncultured Pseudomonadota bacterium
Lineage: Bacteria; Pseudomonadati; Pseudomonadota
Description: bacterial SSU rRNA
Rfam family: Bacterial small subunit ribosomal RNA
Source: RNAcentral
AUUGAACGCUGGCGGCAUGCCUUACACAUGCAAGUCGAACGGCAGCACGGGGGCAACCCUGGUGGCGAGUGGCGAACGGGUGAGUAAUGCAUCGGAACGUGCCCAGUAGUGGGGGAUAACACAGCGAAAGCUGUGCUAAUACCGCAUACGACCUGAGGGUGAAAGCGGGGGAUCGCAAGACCUCGCGCGAUAGGAGCGGCCGAUAUCGGAUUAGCUUGUUGGUGAGGUAAAGGCUCACCAAGGCGACGAUCCGUAGCUGGUCUGAGAGGACGACCAGCCACACUGGAACUGAGACACGGUCCAGACUCCUACGGGAGGCAG